GACGAACGCUGGCGGCGUGCUUAACACAUGCAAGUCGAACGGAAAGGCCCAGCUUGUUGGGUACUCGAGUGGCGAACGGGUGAGUAACACGUGGGUGAUCUGCCCCCAACUUCGGGAUAAGCCUGGGAAACUGGGUCUAAUACCGGAUAUGACCUGCUCCUGCAUGGGGGUUGGUGGAAAGCUUUUGCGGUUUGGGAUGGGCCCGCGGCCUAUCAGCUUGUUGGUGGGUAAUGGCCUACCAAGGCGACGACGGGUAGCCGACCUGAGAGGGUGAUCGGCCACACUGGGACUGAGACACGGCCCAGACUCCUACGGGAGGCAGCAGUGGGGAAUAUUGCACAAUGGGCGCAAGCCUGAUGCAGCGACGCCGCGUGAGGGAUGACGGCCUUCGGGUUGUAACCUCUUUCGUCCAGGGACGAAGCGCAAGUGACGGUACCUGGAGAAGAAGCACCGGCCAACUACGUGCCAGCAGCCGCGGUAA
This 481-nucleotide ribosomal RNA is filed under the name uncultured bacterium. RNAcentral's name for it is "bacterial SSU rRNA". It matches the Rfam family "Bacterial small subunit ribosomal RNA", at positions 28 to 523 of the family's 1533-position model. The record is from RNAcentral.